Molecule: ribosomal RNA, 314 nt
Filed under: Escherichia coli
Lineage: Bacteria; Pseudomonadati; Pseudomonadota; Gammaproteobacteria; Enterobacterales; Enterobacteriaceae
Description: partial 23S ribosomal RNA
Rfam family: Bacterial large subunit ribosomal RNA
Source: RNAcentral
CCAGACAGCCAGGAUGUUGGCUUAGAAGCAGCCAUCAUUUAAAGAAAGCGUAAUAGCUCACUGGUCGAGUCGGCCUGCGCGGAAGAUGUAACGGGGCUAAACCAUGCACCGAAGCUGCGGCAGCGACGCUUAUGCGUUGUUGGGUAGGGGAGCGUUCUGUAAGCCUGUGAAGGUGUGCUGUGAGGCAUGCUGGAGGUAUCAGAAGUGCGAAUGCUGACAUAAGUAACGAUAAAGCGGGUGAAAAGCCCGCUCGCCGGAAGACCAAGGGUUCCUGUCCAACGUUAAUCGGGGCAGGGUGAGUCGACCCCUAAGGC